UUGACAAUCCUUUAGGGAAUGACCUGGUC
RNAcentral lists this non-coding RNA (29 nucleotides) under Rattus norvegicus (Norway rat). Lineage: Eukaryota; Metazoa; Chordata; Mammalia; Rodentia; Muridae. The record is from RNAcentral.